Pelobates cultripes (western spadefoot toad) is the source of this 347-nucleotide non-coding RNA. Lineage: Eukaryota; Metazoa; Chordata; Amphibia; Anura; Pelobatidae. The record is from the annotation of a GenBank genome assembly.
GUGGAUAUCCGUGUGUAUAGCCCAGUGGAUAUAGCUAUAUAUCAGUAUGUGUAUAGUCCAGUUGAUCUCUCUCUCUCUCUCAGUAUGUAUAUCUAGCCCAAUAUGUGUAUCUAAUCCAGUAAAUGUAUAUCUAGAUCAGUUUGUGCAUAGCUAGUCUAGUGUGUAUAUAGCUAGCCCAGUAUGGGUAUACCUAUCCCAGUGUACCUCUAAGGUCAGUCCUCGCCUUCUGCAUUCACAUGUCUGGCUUCUCUUCUCAACCCGGUCUGCCUGCUCUCUUAUACAGUGUCAGUCCACUUUACUCUCUCCCUCCCUUUCUCCCUCUCUCCAUCCAUGUGUCUCGGUGUCUU